Non-coding RNA from Cyanistes caeruleus (blue tit), 2297 nucleotides. The record is from RefSeq and is a predicted model, not a curated record. NCBI's taxonomy places the organism in Eukaryota, Metazoa, Chordata, Aves, Passeriformes, Paridae.
CUCUCCAGGUCCUCUCCGAUGAGGUAAUCCCAAAGAAAGAUAAGGGAAGCGGUGCGUGUACCAACCUGAGCGCUGAUGUCAGCCGGGGAAAAGCAGAUUAAGGAUUCGGGGAGAGGAAUUGCAGCGAUUUUGGCGUCACCUGCUCGCCGCUGUUAAUUCAGGUCGGAGUCACUCCCGAGCCUCUCCUGCUCCGGGUGAUGCCCCAGUUCACCUUCGCCUGCUUCUGUGGCCUCCACGGCUUCUGCAAGAUGAAGAGGAAGAAGGAACAGGCCAGCGGGGGGCAGGAGACGGCCGUGUGAGGAUCAGCCCCCGCCCGGGACCCCCUCCUGUCCCCUCGAUUCUCUCCCGCAUCCCGUGGAUUCUCUCCUCAUUUCCCGUCCCUCCCUGUCCCCAGGAAGCCGGGGAAGAGCCGAAGUGUCCCUGCCCACGAUGUCCCUGCCCGUCCCGCUGCGAGCGAGAAUUCCCCCCCUGCUCCAGCAAUUCCCAGCAGAGAAACCGGGAAAAGCUCCAAAAUCCGGGCCAAGCCUCGUCCUUGCCGGAAUCCAGAGCUGGGCAGCGCCUCUGGCACGGCCAGGUCCGUCCCUGCCUCCUUCCCUCUCCCUGGAACAAUCCUGGACCUUUCCAGAAACUCGGGAUGCGCUCCGGCAAUUCCUCCCGACUUCGGAUCUUCCUCUUCUCCCCUCCAGAAGCAGCCGGACCUGAGCGCUGCUGGAGCAGAUGAAUCCCGCUGAUGGCAGUGGGAAUGAGGCGUCUAUCCAAGGAAAAUUCCAAGGGUUUUCCGUCCUCUGGAGCGGGAGGCGAGCGGUGAAGCCGAAGCCGGAGCCGUGUUCUGGCUGCUCCCGGAUUUCCUUUGGGAAGGGAUGCAGGAAUGCGUGGGGCUCGUCCUCCCCAUCCCGGAUCUGGCUGGAAUUCCUACAAAUCCCUGCGGAUUCCCAGAGUUCACGGGAAGAGCCUUCACCUCCUCAGGAAAGCAGAGCCGCGCUCCCUAAAGAGGAAUUUAUUCCCACCAGCAAUAAUCCCGUCCACCAAGGGAAGGAUCCAGCUGCCCUGCUCACAUUCCCACCGGGAAUUUGGGCUGGGAACUCUCCAGGCGGGGCAAUUCCUGCAUCCAAGACUCAAAAAAUUAAACCGAAAAAAACCCAUUUUAAAUGUUUUUCUCCCCUCAGAAAUCACCUGCUCGAAGCUGUCCCUUCUCCCAGCCGAGGGGAGGAUUCUCUUCCAGGUAUUCCCAGUCUUCCCACAGGACAAAAUUAAUUCGUGGCUGUCCCAAAACUCGGCGUUUUCCAAAUGUUUUCCCGAGGAUGAAGCAAUUCCAGAUCAGUUGAUUUGGGAAAAUGCUGAAUUUCCAUUUCAUUUCACAUUUUUGCACCUCAGCCUCCUCAGUUCCACCUUUGGGGAGGAACUUCGGGAUCAGCUCUGGACCAAAAAAUCCAAGGAAAUUGGUGGAACUCCAAGGGAAUUUCCUGAAUUUCCCCACUUCCACCUUUGGCGAGGACCUUUGGGAUCAUCUCCAGACCAAAACCAAAAAAUCCAAGGAAGUCGGGAAUUUUCUGGGAAUUCCAAGGGAAUUUCCUGACUGUAACUUUAAUUUUUGCGCAAGGAUUCGUGGUGGCCGCGAGAGGGAUUUCAACAAGUUGGGAUUAAUCCCUGCACGGGUGUGAAGAUAAAGGUGGAAUUCCAACCUUGUUUUAUUCCAGGAAAAAUCCAGAGGGACACUCUGACACCGAGAUAUGUAAAAAAAUAUUAAUUAUAGCGAGAGGAGCUUGGAUCGACUUCCAUCCCUCCGAUUUCUCCUGUUUCUCCAGGUUUUUCCUAUGCAAAAACACACAAAAAACCAGCAAAAACAAAGCCAGGCUCAGCAGCAGGUCCUGACUCAACAAAGCCCCGCUUAAAGCUAAAGCUUGGCUUUGGGAUUUUGCUGAUUCCAGCCUGGAUCGAUCCCUGGGAAAGAGGGGAAGGGGCAGAACCCUCCUUGCAGCCUCUCCUGACACGGAUCAAAGCAUGAAAUCUCUUUUUAUCGUCCUUUAUUUUUAUCCCUGCUGCCCGGAUUUCUUUGGGAAAAGAUUCCCAAGAUGUUCCUCAGGAAUCUCCCGGCCCCAGGAGCCAUAGGAAUUCCUACUGUACAUUUAUUUUUUUGGGGGGGGUUUUGUUUUUGGGGAGGGGGAAAUAAAAGUGGCAUUUGUAAAUAAGCACAGGAACAGAGCAGAACAAAUCCUAUAGGAAUUCUUAUUCCAGAGGAAUAAAUUAAUGGAAAAAAAAUUAAUGGAUAAAUAAAUUAAUGGAUAAAUAAAUUAAUG